UACGUAGGGAGCAAGCGUUGUCCGGAAUCAUUGGGCGUAAAGCGCGCGUAGGCGGCCUCAUAAGUCCGUUGUGAAAGUCAAAGGCUCAACCUUUGAAAGCCGAUGGAUACUGUGAGGCUAGAGUCCGGAAGAGGCGAGUGGAAUUCCUGGUGUAGCGGUGAAAUGCGUAGAUAUCAGGAGGAACACCGGUGGCGAAGGCGGCUCUCUGGACGGAUACUGACGCUGAGGCGCGAAAGCGUGGGGAUCAAACAGG
Molecule: ribosomal RNA, 253 nt
Filed under: uncultured bacterium
Lineage: Bacteria
Description: partial 16S ribosomal RNA
Rfam family: Bacterial small subunit ribosomal RNA
Source: RNAcentral